RNAcentral lists this long non-coding RNA (1645 nucleotides) under Lactuca sativa (garden lettuce). The record is from RNAcentral. Lineage: Eukaryota; Viridiplantae; Streptophyta; Magnoliopsida; Asterales; Asteraceae.
CCACAUCGGCUGGGAAGGAGAACUAAGCAUUCCUUAUAAGGGGUGUGGAUACCUUCCCUAUCACAACGUGUUUUAAAGGCGUGAGGGCAGCAGAUCCCAUAAGAACUCUGCAGUUAAGCGUGUUCGGGCGGGAGUAGUACCAGGAUGGGUGACCCCCUGGGAAGUCCUCGUGCCGAGUGGCCCAAAGCGGACAAUAUUGUGAUACGUGCCAGAGGGGGAUGUUACAAAUGGUAUCAGAGCCAGGGCACGGGUCGAUGUGUUCGACGGGGACGUCGAACCCUAUAAUGGGGGGUGAAAGUGGGUUAGAUCUGAUCCCACAUCGGCUGGGAAGGAGAACUAAGCAUUCCUUAUAAGGGGUGUGGAUACCUUCCCUAUCACAACGCGUUUUAAAGCCGUGAGGGCAGCAGAUCCCAUAAGAACUCUGCAGUUAAGCGUGCUCGGGCGGGAGUAGUACCAGGAUGGGUGACCCCCUGGGAAGUCCUCGUGCCGAGUGGCCCAAAGCGGACAAUAUUGUGAUACGUGNUGUACGAAAGACACCUACUUGAUGUGGAACGUCAACUGGCUGAACUGAGAGUUCACCAGAGGGAUGAUCGUCUCCAGUAGGAGAUACUUUAAUUUCCUUCUUGUUUUAAAAGAACUGUGUUCCUGUGUAUGCCCUAUGUGGCAUUUUCUAUGGAACUGCCUAGUACUGUAGGUACUUUUGAUUAGGCCUUUAUACGGCCAAAACUUUGGAUACUCCGGGUAUGAUGUAAGACCUGCUUCAAGGUCAAUUUUCCCUGAACUUAUUUCAUCUUAAACAUCGUUGAUGUUGACAGUCGACUAAAUUCCAUGUCAUGUUUUUGUUCAAAUACUCUCAUCAUACUUUCAUUGGAGUCUAGCUGAAUCAUGCUUUAGUCAAGUCAUCGGACUAUAAUAAUUUAAAAUCCGGAGACAUUUCCAUGUCUCCUUCAGUGGUUGGAUCAUAUUAUCCACCAACCCAUAGUACCUCGGCACGAAUGACAAACGUCUUGACACCACUGUAGGAGCUUACUCCCACUUUUUCUAGGACUGCAUCAUAGGAAUGUAGGUCAAACCUUAGUGAUCAUGUUUCCAUUCCGUACUAGGACUGCAUCAUAGGGAUGUAGGUCGAACCUUAGAGAACAUACUUAUAUCCUUUACAUGAGCGAUCGAACUACGUCUAGGUUCAACCAUUCUCGCUCACAAAUUCAUUUUCUUUCAGUGAAACAGAAUCAUGUCGCCAAAGAAAACCGAUCAACCCAUCAACCAAACACCGACUCUUCAGAUUGAUGCGGCUACCUUUCAAGCUGCAGUUUCGGCUGCCGUGUCAGCUAUUCUGACCCACCUCAGCGCUAACAACGCAAAUGUUAGCAGGAUUGUUAACAACAGUUCCAAUCCAGUUAACAAUCAAGUACCUCAACGAGCAACAAACUACCACGAUACUCCGAGUUCCAAGACCAAGAGUAACAAACAGAAAAAAGUGGGUUAGAUCUGAUCCCACAUCGGCUGGGAAGGAGAACUAAGCAUUCCUUAUAAGGGGUGUGGAUACCUUCCCUAUCACAACGCGUUUUAAAGCCGUGAGGGCAGCAGAUCCCAUAAGAACUCUGCAGUUAAGCGUGCUCGGGCGGGAGUAGUACCAGGAUGGGUG